Molecule: ribosomal RNA, 288 nt
Filed under: uncultured bacterium
Lineage: Bacteria
Description: partial 16S ribosomal RNA
Rfam family: Bacterial small subunit ribosomal RNA
Source: RNAcentral
AAUCAACGCUGGCGGCGUGCCUAACACAUGCAAGUCGAACGCGAAAAUUCCUUCGGGGAUGAGUAGAGUGGCGUCCGGGUGAGUAACGCGUGGGUAAUCUGCCUUCGGGUGGGGAAGUAACCCAGGGAAACGUUGGGCGUAAUACCGCAUAAUGCAGCGGCUCGACAUCGAGACAGUUGUUAAAGCAGCAAUGCGCCGUGAAGAGGAGCCUGCGUCUGAUUAGCAGGUUGGUAGGUAAUGGCUUACCAAGGCGUACGAUCAGUAGCUGGUCUGAGAGGACGGCCAGCC